AUUGAACGCUGGCGGCAUGCCUUACACAUGCAAGUCGAACGGUAACGAGCCUUCGGGUGCCGACGAGUGGCGAACGGGUGAGUAAUACAUCGGAACGUGCCCGAUCGUGGGGGAUAACGAGGCGAAAGCUUUGCUAAUACCGCAUACGAUCUACGGAUGAAAGCAGGGGACCGCAAGGCCUUGCGCUGACGGAGCGGCCGAUGGCAGAUUAGGUAGUUGGUGGGAUAAAAGCUUACCAAGCCGACGAUCUGUAGCUGGUCUGAGAGGAUGAUCAGCCACACUGGGACUGAGACACGGCCCAGACUCCUACGGGAGGCAGCAGUGGGGAAUUUUGGACAAUGGGCGCAAGCCUGAUCCAGCCAUGCCGCGUGCAGGAUGAAGGCCUUCGGGUUGUAAACUGCUUUUGUACGGAACGAAAAGCCUUCUUUUAAUACAGGAGGGUCAUGACGGUACCGGAAGAAUAAGCACCGGCUAACUACGUG
This 482-nucleotide ribosomal RNA is filed under the name uncultured bacterium. Its description in RNAcentral is "partial 16S ribosomal RNA". It matches the Rfam family "Bacterial small subunit ribosomal RNA", at positions 30 to 507 of the family's 1533-position model. The record is from RNAcentral.